RNAcentral lists this ribosomal RNA (498 nucleotides) under uncultured bacterium. Its description in RNAcentral is "partial 16S ribosomal RNA". It matches the Rfam family "Bacterial small subunit ribosomal RNA", at positions 30 to 523 of the family's 1533-position model. The record is from RNAcentral.
AUUGAACGCUGGCGGCAUGCCUUACACAUGCAAGUCGAACGGUAACAGGUCUUCGGAUGCUGACGAGUGGCGAACGGGUGAGUAAUACAUCGGAACGUGCCUAGUAGUGGGGGAUAACUACUCGAAAGAGUGGCUAAUACCGCAUGAGAUCUACGGAUGAAAGCAGGGGAUCGCAAGACCUUGUGCUACUAGAGCGGCCGAUGGCAGAUUAGGUAGUUGGUGGGAUAAAAGCUUACCAAGCCGACGAUCUGUAGCUGGUCUGAGAGGACGAUCAGCCAAAAUGGGACUGAGACACGGGCCAGACUCCUACGGGAGGCAGCAGUGGGGAAUUUUGGACAAUGGGCGAAAGCCUGAUCCAGCAAUGCCGCGUGCAGGAUGAAGGCCUUCGGGUUGUAAACUGCUUUUGUACGGAACGAAAAGCCCCGGGUUAAUACCCUGGGGUCAUGACGGUACCGUAAGAAUAAGCACCGGCUAACUACGUGCCAGCAGCCGCCGCCG